ACCUGCCCACUGAUUUAUUAAAUGGCCGCAGUAAUUUGACUGUGCAAAGGUAGCAUAAUCAUUAGUUUUUUAAUUAAAAGCUUGUAUGAAUGGUUGGACGAGGUAGAAUCUGUCUCUAGAUAAUUUAAGUUAGAAUUUAAUUUUGAAGUUAAAAAGCUUAAAUGAUAAUAAAAGACGAGAAGACCCUAUAGAUCUUUAUAUUAAUAUAAUUAAUUUUAUUUAAGAUUUUUUUAAUUUUUUAUUUAUAUUAUUAUUUUAUUGGGGUAAUAGAAAGAUUUAAAUAAUUCUUUUUUUUAUUAUAUAGAUUAAUAUUUAUAUGAUCCAAAGAUUUUUGAUUAUAAGAUUAAGUUACCUUAGGGAUAACAGCGUAAUUUUUUUAAAGAGUUCUUAUCGAUAAAAAAGUUUGCGACCUCGAUGUUGGAUUAAAAAUUAUCUUAGGUGCAGAAGUUUAAGAAUUUGGUCUGUUCGACCAUUAAAUUUUU
Molecule: ribosomal RNA, 482 nt
Filed under: Lacconectus krikkeni
Lineage: Eukaryota; Metazoa; Arthropoda; Insecta; Coleoptera; Dytiscidae
Description: partial 16S ribosomal RNA
Rfam family: Bacterial large subunit ribosomal RNA (bases 359-482)
Source: RNAcentral